RNAcentral lists this long non-coding RNA (13402 nucleotides) under Podarcis lilfordi (Lilford's wall lizard). Lineage: Eukaryota; Metazoa; Chordata; Lepidosauria; Squamata; Lacertidae. The record is from RNAcentral.
CUACAGGUAACGAUUCAAUUCCCUGGGGAUGCCAAGCAGAAGAUUUGCCACCAUGUCACGACUUUAUCACCAUCCACUCAGCCUUCCGCCUUCCCUCCUCAUCCCAGCUGGUAAGAAGAUUUAUAGGCACCAUAAAUUGACUUUAUUAAAUUGACAGAGUAAGGCCUUUGACACUGUUUCACAUGACUUACUCCAAUACAAAUAAAAAGGAAAUGUGGGGUGGAUUUUGCCACCGCAAGACUGGUGCGCCACUACUUGGGAACUAUCCUAAAAAAGGUGUUCAGUUUCUCUCUACCUACCUACCAUGGUGUAAAAAACGAGGGAUCAUGCUGUUCUCUUCUGCUGCCUCUGGUCCUCUUUAGUUUCUUUGAGUUGAGCAGAAGAAUGGUAGAUAUGCUUCUGAAAUGUGGGGAUAAUUCCAAAAUGAGGAAAUUUGCAAGAAUUUAUCCGAGUAUGGGCUCAUUGUUUAGAAUCCCAACUAAUCUACAGUGGGGAUGCGUAAAUAGAAACAGGUGAGAUUUAAUUUAGCAGCGGUUUGACUUCACCCCUGGAGGCACAUUGUCUCUUGAGAUGGACGGGUGCCAACAACUCCUGCAAGGCACGAUCUGCAAGGCAUUGUGUGGGUUACCCCUGUUUUAAACAACAUUUACCUGGCUUGGGCUGUGGCAGCAGUGAGAAGAGGGAAGCAGGAAAACGUUCUCUCUCCCUCUCCCCAUCUCUCUGGCACACUGGUAGCACACAAAGCCUUAUUGUGAAAUUUGAAGCAAAUUUUGGAUGAACACAUCCAACGAAUUUGAAAGGGAAGCCAAACAAAAGCUGAGUAAGUCUGAAAUAAGGUCAGGGUGUGUGUGCUUGUGUAUGCAUGUAGCCAUUGGGGUGAGAUCUUCCUGAUGAAAACAAAACUCAGAGCAAACUCUGGAGAUUGUUUCUCAGAUGAACGUGCUGAAGAGUUCCAGGGGAGGUCACGGCAGUCUUGAUAAGAGUAACAUUUCUCAGAAGGGAUUUGCAUGUUCCUGGUUAGAUAAAGUGUCGUUCCUGACAACCGCUGGAGCAACUCUCAUUGCUUCAUGUUACAGCAAUAACCUAGAAAAGCUAUUCAAGCAAAGGCUAUACCCAGCUUUCUCUCCAUAAUAAUGUACAGACCUGACCACAGCUUUCCUUUUUAGAAAGUACAGAAGUUUGGCUUUCCCUCGUGCUUCUGAACAAGAGAGCUCAAAAUAGUUCCACUGGAAAGGUAGAUGAUUUUAUUUUAUACAUAAACACACACACACAAAAACAGAUGGAUUGUUUUAGACCAUUUUACCCGCUUCACUCUGAUUCAGUUUUUCCAUAACAUUUCAGUCAUUUCUGGUGGCAAGUGGCCUCUAAUUUUGGCUUAUUCAGUGGAAAUUAGCAGUAAUAACAUAAUGGACACACUGGUAUGUGCCCUCAGGAGCCCUUCUGAAGGCAAAUUUAAUUGUUAAGUGAAAAUAGAUUGAUAGUCUCAGCUCCUCCUGCAAAUACGUGUAAGAGCUGUGGCGAGUUGCUCAAGCCAUUCUUAUUGUCUCGCUGCAGUAUAUGACACAAGCAAUAAAAGAACUUUAUUUCGGGAGUUAGGCAUGGUUUUUGAAGAUGGCAGUUUGGCCAUUUGGCCAUUUCACCUGUAGCAGCUGGUGAGGUUGGCAGGAUGGGGGUCGGUUGCGUUCUUGGCUUCCCAACCCAGAAGGCAACCCAGAGGGAGAGCAGACGGUCCAGGAAUCAGUGUGUUUUUACAUGAGUAGAAUGUGUCCUUUUAUUUAAAAUAUAUCUCUGGGUUAUUUGUGGGGCACAGGAAUUCAUUCAUAUUUUUUCCCCAAGAUAUAGUCCGGCCCUCUGUAUGGUCUGAGGGAUGGUGGACUGGUCCCUGGGCUAAAAGGGGCCAGGAGAAAUGCUUGUAAUUGUUGUGAGAGCCAGUGUGGUGUAGUGGUUAAGAGUGGUAGUCUUGUAAUCUGGGAAACUGGGUUUGCGUCUCCGCUCCUCCACAUGCAGCUGCUGGGUGACCUUGGGCCAGUCACACUUCUUUGAAGUCUCUCAGCCCCACUCACCUCACAGAGUGUUUGUUGUGGGAGAGGAAGGGAAAGGAGAAUGUUAGCCGCUUUGAGACUCCUUAAAGGGAGUGAAAGGUGGGAUAUCAAAUCCAAACUCUUCUUCUUCUUGUCAGCCACCCCUGAAAAUCCCCCAAAUGCCCCCUUUUCCCGACUGUGGUUGGACUACAAAAUUGAGAAGGAGGGAUUUUGGCCCAGCACCAAACAUAUCCUAAAUCAAUAAAGUGUUCAAACCACAGAAUAUCCUCAUGGGACUCUCUGUGCCUGGAGAGAGAAGGAUUGUAGCCUUGGGUAUAUACAUAUACAUAUAUUUGGCAAUACCUGCAAUGACUCUGCUUGUGAAUCUUGCCAAGGAAAAAAGAGAGCAUCACCGGAGAUAUAUUGAGGAUGUCAACAUGCAGUGAUCUUGUUUUUGCUGAUCUCCUUUAGCUGCAUGGGCACAAAGCUGGUGCCAGAAGGUGGCUAUGCCAGGGGCUUGCUAGCGUCCCCAGACUGAAAAUGGAAAUCAGAGAGCAGCAUGGCAUAAUUCUUUGUGUGCACAUCUUCACUCUCCUAGGUUAAGGGGGCUUAAUGUUUAAGAGGUUUCCUGCUAGAAGACCCCCAUAGCCCUAGAGCCAUUAAACCCAUGGAUGCCCAGCAUUUGUGGUUCUUGUGGUUCACGGUAAUUCCAUUUACAGUGAACUCCUCUGAAGUUUAUCCCCUCUUGCCUCCCUCUCCCAGGAGACUGGAGGAGACUGGAACAUGGAAAAUAGCAUGUCAGGAAGAAGGUUUCCAGCUUAACCUUGAGUGGGGGAGUCAACAUCACACAUGCUUCCUGUAUUAAAUUAAUUUCCACAUAUAAUAAUCGAAUUAUAGAGUUGGAAGAUACCCUGAGGAUCAUAUAGUCCAACUCCUUCAGUGUAGGAAUAUGCAGCUGUCCCAUACGGGGAUCGAACCUGCAACCUUGGCAUUAUCAGCACCACGCUCCAACCAGCUGAGCCACCUUCAGGCUCAUAUUUAUGUAGGUUCUCCUGAGUAGGUUCUCCCAUUUUGCUUCCUUCCUCUGGGAAACUUUGGGAAGGAAGGGCCCAUGAAGAACCAACAUCAAACAUGAUUCCUGUAUUUAUUUAAAUUCUAGUUUAAAGGUAAAGGACCCAGAUGACUCUGGGGUUGCAGCACUCAUCUCGCUUUACACACCGAGGGAGCUGGCGUUUGUCCACAGACAGUUUUUCCGGGUCAUGUGGCCAGCAUGACUAAGCUGCUUCUGGCGAACCAGAGCAGUGCAUGGAAACGCGAUUUACCUUCCCGCUGGAGCAGUACCUAUUUAUCUACUUGCACUGGUGUGCUUUCGAACUGCUAAGUUGUCAGGAGCUGGGACUGAGCAACGGGAGCUCACUCCGUCGUGAGGAUUCGAACUGCCAACCUUCUGAUCUGCAAGCCCAAGAGGCUCAGUGGUUUAGACCACAGCGCCACCGGCGUCCCUAACAAAAUUCUAGUUAGAGUUCUCUUUUAAACAGGUUCUCUCUUUUCACUCCCCUCCCCCAGGAGAUUUUGAGGAACCCCACACAUGGAAGAAAGGUUCUACCCUUGACAUUCACCAUAGGAGCCAACUCCUACGGGCCAAGGUCCCUUUGGCCCCUCCAUAAAAUAUUUGAGGGGGCUCCCCCCCCAGUUCAUGAGUAUUCAUCAAAUGGCGAGUGAACACUGUAUCGUGUGAUUGAUUAUGUGGGGCAGGGCUUACCUGGCCCCCCCGCCCCUCAAUAUUUUAUACAAGUUGGCAUCCCUGACAUUCACCCGUGGAGAAUCAGCAUCAAACAUGCUUCCUGCGUUUAAUUAAAUUCCAUUUAGAAUGAUCUCCUGUGCAAAGUCUCCCCCCCCCCAAAUAAACUUUGGGAGCCAGGAGCAUCCUUGCCAGGCAUGCUCACCUCUAUCUACAAAUGGGAAAGGCGCAGAAGCAGCUGAGCAGACCUCACGUCAGCCUAUGGGAAUCAAUGAACAAUUAAUUACUAUCAUCAAGUGGUACUCUACUCCGGGAAGACAGCGCACUUAUAUUUAUCAAUUACUAAUUAGUAGCUCUUGCCCAGCUGACAGUUGUCUGUCAGCCAGGAGAAAAGCCGCAGUGUGUGGCUCUCCAAAGUGGUCGGUUCUUAGCGGUAAUUAGUGGAGCUCUACUAUGGCUCUGGGUCUUGUUUUGUUUUGAAAUCCUUUCCUAACAAGGCUGGGACUUCCAAAGGGAUCCUCAGGCAUCUCGGUGCCAUUCUCCUGAUUAAUUUCAGGGUGUGUUUGUGCAUGCGUUGGGCCUUCAACAUCCGCUUUCCUUUGCAAGUCCUUCCCUGAAUCUUAGAAAUCUUCCCAGAAUCUUCAUUGUGGGGGAUGAAACACAUGCAUAGUUUUUCAGAUUAAUUUGGCUCGGAUAUAGGGAUGCACAGACCUGCCAAUUUCAGCUUCUCUUUCCCCCAGUGUUCAGUUCAGUUCUCCCCAUUUCUGUAGCGAUUGCCAAUGUGUUUGUUUUGAGAAAUCCUCGUGAAAAUCUGUCAGCGUUUGAGUGCAAAUUUCUUCUAACUAACACAUAGUUGCAUGCGGUUUGGAAUGACAGACCCAUCCCUGAAAGCAAUUUUCUCUGAUAUAAUGCAUUUUGUGUAUGUUAUUUUCACUAAGCGCUCAGCUAGACUGGUAAAGAAACAGCGAUUUAUAUGCACUGUAUGUAUGGUGCAACAUUGUGCCACCAGAUGGCGAUGUGGAGUUCUGCUUUUCUCUACCGGUUUUCCCUGUUUAAAUUUACAACGCUUUGAACUGAAAUGCUUCUUUGAUGUGUCUAGAUGAGGCCUAAGAUGUGUGUUUUCCCACAAUAUGUGCAUAUUGUUUGGUGGGAGGACUGCAUUGGAGAAGUGCAAAUUUUGAAGGAUACCUGUGUUCUGGUUCUCGAGAAGUACAAAUUAAAUCAUAUGUCAGUGGUUGGCCCUGUCUCCCUCCCUAUUUCUCUCCAGUACACCUGGAGAUGGGCGGGUAGGUUUCCUCAAGGAGUAUGGUGGCAGAAAAGACUAUGUUUCUACAGGGCAUUGUAUGAGUAAUGGCAGCUGCCUGAUACUCAUUGAUGCAUCAGGCUAAUAAAAUAAUAAUAAUAAUAAUAAUAAUAAUAAUAAUAUUUUAUUUAAACCCUGCCCAUCUGGCUGGGUUGCCCCCUAGUGGUGUGAGCAGUGUGGAGGCUGCCACUGUGAUUGAGAGCAGCACUUUUACCUUACAGGAUUGUGCUGAGAAAAUGUAUCUGAAGAUUCUUCAUCACUUUAAGCCAAUGGUGGGAAACCUCAGGUCUGGGGGCCACAUGCAGCCCCCCCAGGCCACUCUGUCUGGCCCUUGAGACUCUUCCCAGACCACCCACUCACUAGCCCAACUUUGAACCCUUCUUGAGAGUUUUUGCCUGGCUGCAAUGUCUCCUUGAACUCAACGCUUCCUGCUGGUCUGCAUGACAAAUAUAAAGAGGUUUGUGUGUGUGCAGAAACUAGCCUAGGGUACAGGUAAAAAUUACAUUUGUUGCUCCAAUCAUUUCCCCCUCUAGCUUCCCACACCCCUCUUCUCCUAAGCACAAAUAGAAAUAGACAAUAAUGAAUAUUGUCAUUAUUCUUAACUUACAUGAAAUGUAAUAGUGGCCUACUGAUAGUUUACUGUCAAGGGAUGACUAAAAGCUUAUUGCUUCUUCAGUAGCUUUUUGUAUAGCUUAACCCAGGGGUGGGGAACCUGUAGCCCUCUAGAAAUUGCUGGACUACAACUCCCAUCAUUCCUGAACAUUGAUCAGACUGAUGGGAGUUGUAGUCCAGCAACAUCUGGAAAGCUACUGGCUCCCCUGCUUUCAACAUAGACAUGAUGAACGUGAAAGAACUCAUCAGAAAUAAUGCAUGCCAAACUCCAUCAGCUUUGUAACCACAAGCAGAAGAUACUUAAUUUCAAAACUCAACAAGUCAGCCGCUGGAGUUUAGAACCUCAGAAAUCUCAUCAAACCCUGAAGCCCACGGAGAAAAUUCUUCCUGAGAUCAUGGUUGCAUAGCGAUUCCCUCCCCCCUUCCCAGUUUAAACAACAGUUUAAAUAUUAGACUUUCCCAGGAAGGGAAAUAUCUCUUCUCACCUGACAUUGCUAAAACCCCUGGCUCCUUGCUGAGUAGAUUAUUAAUGGCAGGGACCAUUUAAUCUCUCCUGGGUAAGGCAUCCAAAAGAGUCACACUGUUGAUCCAGACGCAAGUCAACAUGUUAUCGCUGCCGUGACGUUAUCACUGCCCCUAACAGUAAGCGGGUUGGGGGUGGGCAGGAGGAGGUUAGUAACCUGGUUCCUUCACAUUGUAAUGUGUGCAUCCCAAGUUGCCGUUUGCAAUUAACUUGCUCAAACAAAACUCAUAUAAAUCAAUCAUGCCUGGGCUAAUAAAUAAAUCUUUGAUCAGUGACUAUCUGGUAAAUGUGUAGACAUGGGUCAGUACCUCAGAUUUACAGCACUUCCUUGCUGGGCAGCAGGAUUAAAACAAAGACUAAUGGGUUGUCAUGUCUUCUUAUUUAAAACUUGUGCAGCAAUGCCAUUGUCGGGGGCCCUGUAUCAUUUUAUUUGCAGUCAUGUAGCUGUCCCUCCAAGUUAGGGGCUUUCAGUUAUUUACUUUUCAGUCUCCCCCCUCAAUGCUUCCAACAACAACAGCAGCAACAACAACAACAACAACAUAAUAUAUUUGAAAGAUUAACAAGAGUAAGCAAUGGAAGCAGCUAUAAAUUCUUGGAACGUGGCACACAUUUUUUCCUAGAUUCAAAUCAGAGGCACAUUUUGGUCUUCAGUUUUGUUUGUUUCAAAGCAUAUAUUUUCUCAAUCAGAUUCCAAACUUUUGGGCAUGCAUCGUCAUUAUGAUGAGAAAGGUAGGUAAAAUUCCCCUACUCAGAUUGGCCUAGGUAUAUGCUUUUGGAGCAAAGGUGAUGCUUCUGGGAUCUCCCUGCUAUGUGGGUUUUGCACCAGAGAAUUCUACUGUGCCUCACAUAGGAAGGGACCUUAUCUGUGGCCCAUAAGGGAAACUGGGGGACUGCCCCGUCAACCUUAGCCUGACCUCAGCCAGCUCCCACCUGCCUGUCUAACUUAGCUGGGAACUGCAUUGCAAAAUUCAAAGAAAUUGAAUUUUGCACAAACAAAAAAGGAUAACAAUCUUCCAUUCUGCAUGUUAGGUACAGAUCAGGUCAGCUCAUGUUGGAAUUCAUGGGGAUCACAUCCCUUAAAAGUAAAGGGACCCCUGACCAUUAGGUCCAGUCAUGACCGACUCUGGGGUUGCGGUGCUCAUCUCGCUUUAUUGGCCAAGGGAGCUGGCCAGCAUGACAAAGCCGCUUCUGGCGAACCAGAGCAGCGCACGGAAACGCCGUUUACCUUCCCACCAAAGCGGUACUUAUUCAUCUACUUGCACUUUGACGUCCUUUCGAACUGCUAGGUUGGCAGGAGCAGGGACCAAGCAAUGGGAGCUACCCCGUCGCGGGGAUUCAAACCGCCGACCUUCUGCUCGGCAAGUCCUAGGCUCUGUGGUUUAACCCACAGCGCCACCCGCAUCCCUUAAGUAUUCCUAAAUCAGAGUUUGGGUGUGUGUGUGAAGGCUUCAAAACAGCACCAACGCCUUGGCUUCGGAAAUGGAACUUCCACGUAAGACCCGAGCUGAGGUUGGGAAGGAAAGUUCUGACACAGGGAUGUACAGAUUCAGAACACAUCGGCAAAUGAAAUCCAUGAUAAAAGAAGAGAAUGUGUUUGGCAGUUUCCAGCUAACUUGCCACUUGGCCAGGCAGCUGGGGGGGGGGUGUGGGGGUGGCCUUUUGCAGAUAAAAUCUGGUUAUAUAGAGCUGAUUCUCAUCAAUAUACCCUUUAGAAGAGUCCUCUCCCAUCUAAAAGCCUGCCUCAACAUUUGAGUGCUCACAAUUAAUCCAGGCAGUGCCAUGCUCUUGUUUUAAUGGCAUACAGACGCUUAGUCAUUUCCUCUGUCUUGUUUUCGCUUGAUGCUCCAGGGAGUAAUUACCCUGAUAUUUUGUCCCUUACCUUGGCAUCGUUAGACAUUUCUGCUAAUUCCAGAGCUGCAUUUCUUAAUCUAACUACUACUAAUUCCAGGAAUCUAACCCUGCACUUUAAUGGGCCUUUGCCAUCAGAGACUCUCCAAACACUUUGCAGUUUUCAUGAUAUGCCAGGCACAUCAUGGCACAACAACAGAGCAUGCUUCUCUCAGGGGAGGAUAUUUAGGCCUGUAAGCAGUAAAGGGGUGAGGGAGAUAAAACAAACAUCUGCCCAGAAUUUCUGACCAAAUGUUUGCUAUAUCCUUUCGGUUCAGAAAUCGUAGGUAAAAGAAGGGGGGACUGCAGCAAAAUGUUGCAGUGCAGAGUGCUCCUUCUCAGUGUCUCAGUCAGGUUUUUUUUAAAAAAAGCACAAUUCCAUUCCAUCAACUAAGCAUGCUCAGAUCUCACUGGGUAAUUUGUUGAGGUUCACACUUUUUUUAAAUAAAGAAAAGUUUGUAUCCCUGACCUUGAGGUUGCCAUGAGUCUUCAGAUAAUUCUUUCCUGUGCACUGGGUCUGUGUGCAGUUUUAUUUACAGAAGCAACAGCUUUCACAACCUGAACAUCAGAUACAAAGGGAAUGAAAAGACUCUGUCUUUCAUAUUUCCCUUUUAAUUCCAUAUUACAGUAACACACCAGACCCAAGGUAGCCUCAGAAAAUAAGCAGCUUUGCAAUUAGCUCCUCCCUGCCCUUGCUCAGUUAGAACUGGGCCACAAAGAUUAGUCAACUCUCAGAGCCAAGUAUGGACGGUUCUGUGACCCUGAUAUAAUUUUAUACCCAGAAUACUCAUUUGAAGUCAGAUUGAGAAAUUGGCAUUCCAAGCACCACCCACUCAUUUUCAGGAAAAGAAUUUAGUUCAUUGUCUUUACCCUGAAUAAACAUUACCAUUGGCAUAUCUUAAAGUUUCCAAGCAUUGUGAUGUGCACAGGUGCAUUCUUUUAUGUUACAGGGAAACAGUUAAUGUGCAAGAAAAAAAAUUGUGUGCAAAGUGCAAACAUUGUGAUGUGCAAGAAAAACAUUGUGUGCAAAGUCACCUUUAGACCCAUACUUGGGCCAGAGCUCAAAAUGCAAGGGCCAUCUUAGAAGAUAAAUCUGAGAAGUGACAAAUUCUGGUCUCAAGGGUUCUGAAUGUGAGAUGAAGCAAUCCAUUUCUCCCAUCCAUUCAUGCAACUGUAUGUUAAAGAGUAGAUUGGCAAGCCUUAAUCUGGUAGCUGAUGCAGUGGCAAAGAACUGAGAAGUACCAGGUUCAAAUCUCGCUCCAUCCAUGAAUUUACAUAGCCAUUAUCUCUCAACCUCCAACUUAGGCUGCAUAAACGUCACACAUUUAAAGCACAUGACUUCCCCCCAAAGAAUCUUGGGAGCUGUAGUUUGCUGAGAGUGCUGGGAAUUGCAGAUCUGUGGAGGGUAACCUAAAGUCCCCAGGAUUCUUUUGAGAAAGUCCUGAGCUUUAUAGAUGUGCUAUAAAUGUACAGGGCAUGCUCAGGCUUAAGGACCUGCGCCAGCACUGUUGACUUCAGCACUUUGGACAGCUGCCAGGGUCAUGAGCCCCAGCAAGACCCACCUUGGUGGUGGAUAGUACAAACCACCAUUUAUACCCACUUUGGAAGAAUGGCAGAUGAAGGUGAUUGACUACAUGGAAUUGGUGGAAAUGACUGGCAGAAUCCGAGACCAGGGAGAAGAGUCGGUGAAAGAAGACUGGAAGAAAUUUAAAGACUAUUUACAGAAAUAUUGCAAAAUUAAGGAAUCUUAGAAGGAUGUUGGAUAGAAACUAAGAGGUUUUUAGCUGUAAUGCUUUAAGAGAUAUGAAAAACGGUUAACAAUUGGGUAAAAGUUUAAUGGUAAGGAUUUGCUGAACUAACAAACUGAACUGGAAUACAAAAAAGGGAGGUAUGAGGAGGUCCGGGGAAAUAAGUGUAGGGAAGAUAGGUUUGGAAAAUCAAUGUCUUUUUAACUGUUUUAUUUUGUAUGUUUCCUUUUUAUUCUUUAUUUUUUUGUUAUAUUUUAAAAACGUUAUUCUUUUUUUUGUACUCUGUAUUUUUUUUUUGUAUUUCUUGAAACUUUAAUAAAUAUCAUUUAAAAAAAACCACAAACAAACCACCAUUUAAAAUGUACGAACAUAUAAUUGUUGCCAGACGGGGAGGGGGAAUUUCUUCAGGACUCUCCCUGAGUUACUCCCCACACCCCUGCUGGACCUUUUUUUUUUUUUUGCCUGGGUGUGGUGUAUCCUUGAACUCUGUAGCUCUCAGUUGCCACUACGGAGCACAGAGAGGGGGGUGUCCAUGGGUGUGAAACUAGCCCGCAGUAGAAAUGCAAAAUGUGCAUUCAUUGCUCUGAUCACUUUUCCUUCUGACCCCAUCCAGAGCUGCCAUGUGGUCUGUGGAAGGUUACCCAAGGGAAUUCUCUGCUCUGGGGCAUUGUGGGAAAUUAAAUUAGCAGCCCUGACCAGCUCUGAUCAGAAGAGGAGAACUGCUUUGCAAAACUAUCCAAGGAGCCUACUGUGGAGCCCUGGGCUGAAGACUUGCUGUUUUUGUUGGGUUCAAUUGCAUCUUGUUAUUCCAGUUGCCAGUGUCCUUGGGACCAGUGGGAUAUUCAAACAAGCCUGCAAGCCAAGACCCAGCCUUGCGUACAAAUAGGGAGCCAACCCCUAAUAUACCUUGAGUAACUUUCCCCAGCCUUGACUCCUCAGCUAGUGUUGGACUACAAAUCCCCAACCAGCACAACCAGUGACCAAGGAUGAUUGUAUUUCUAAUCAAGCAUCAUCUGAAGACCUCAGGGUGGGGAAGGCUGCCCUAGAGAAAGUGAAAAAGUACCAAGAAGCUGAGGCCUGGACUGCAGCAGGGAUUGCCCAUUUGAAAAGCAGCCAAGCUCCUAGUCCUCAUGCCAGAACUGGCCAGUACAGGGGCUUUGCACUGCCUUCCAGGGGUAGAGGCUAAUUUUGCACACCCUAUUCACUUCCAUUGGUGCUGGAGGAGACUCUUGAGAGUCCCAUAGACUGCAAGAAGAUCAAACCUAUCCAUUCUGAAGGAAAUCAGCUCUGAGUGCUCACUGGAAGAACAGUUCCUGAAGCUGAGGCUCCAAUACUUUGGCCACCUCAUGAGAAGAGAAGACUCCCUGGAAAGCACCCUGAUGUUGGGAAAGAUGGAGGGCACAAGGAGAAGGGGACGGCAGAGGAUGAGAUGGUUGGAUAGUGUUCUCGAAGCUACCAGCAUGAGUUUGACCAAACUGCGAGAGGCAAUGGAAGACAGGAGUGCCUGGCGUGCUCUGGUCCAUGGGGUCACGAAGAGUCGGACAUGACUAAAUGACUAAACAACAACAACAUUCACUUCCAUGUUUAGAGAGAACCCUGAGGUUCAUGUGCACACACUCCUAGACAACUCAUCAAGCUACUUCUGAGCCUCUAACCAGGAGUUCCUGCAUUUCCUGGAGGUGAACGGAAUACUGAUCUGCCUUGCCAGACUGUUGUGGAGAUUACUCCAGAAUGAGCUCUACCAAUGUAGUUAUAAUCAUCAACACAAAAUGUGCAUCCCUCCAUCUCUCAAGAGGUAUAGCCUUACUGCUGAAAGACAGAAAAUAGACAUCAACUGAAUUUUACUAUCCAUUGCAGAGGCUUCUAGCUCCCUCAAAGGCUGUUUGAUCAUGCUUAAAUCAUUCUGACCUGGAAUAUGAAUGACUGAGCCAAAGGAACAACGCCCCCCCCCCACUUUCUCUCCUGCUCAAGCGUGACAACAAAUCAAGUCAAAUGGAUUCGUUUCCCCCUCCCCCUUUAAAAGAAACACAUGCUCAAAUACAAAUUAAAUGUCCGCAUUCCCUUAGGUUUCAUUAAUACUUUUAUUAGUCUUAUCUGACUCAUUCCUAUUCGGCCCUCCGCUUUGUCACCAAAACCCUGUGGGAUGGUAAACACAUCUUUGUACUUUAUCUUUUAACCUCCGAGUAACCUUUGUCCUUGGACUCCUAGCAACUUUCAGGACCUAAAAGCAUUACAAAUGGGGAAAGUACUUAUAAUGAUUAAUCUUGUUGGCUGGAGUCAUUAUGAAUAGAUGCUCCCUCAGAACUACAGGGAAGGGGGCUGGCCCCCUGACAUCACCACGGACUUGCACCUAAGCGUUUCUUGUUAGUGGGCUGUCCUCAGGCGGCAGGGGGCUGGUGGUCUCUGAAGAUGGCUGCCAACCAUGUUCUACUCAGGGCAGUCCCUUGGGAAUGAAUAACAAAACCACAGAAUUAUAGAGAUGGAAAGGAUGUUGAGGGUUAUCUAGCCCAACCCUCUGCAAAUGGAUUUAAGCUAGUCAUGUCCAGGGAAUGCAAUGUGUCUACUCUGACUAACAUUGGAGGAGGAGGAGGAGGAAGAAAAUAGGAUAAUAAUAUACAGUGGUACCUCAGGUUAAGUACUUAAUUUGUUCCAGAGGUCCGUUCUUAACCUGAAACUGUUCUUAACCUGAAGCACCACUUUAGCUAAUGGGGCCUCCUGCUGGCGCUGCACCACCAGAGCACAAUUUCUGUUCUCAUCCUGAAGCAAAGUUAUUAACCAGAGAUACUAUUUCUGAGUUAGCGGAGUCUGUAACCUGAAGCGUAUGUAACCUGAAGCGUAGGUAACCCGACGUACAACUGUAUUAAGGAUGGAAUAACAAAUAAAGUGAAUAAAGCAAGAGUAACAAAAAAAAUAGGGACAUGGGUGGUGCUGUGGGUUAAACCACUGAGCCUAGGGCUUGCCGAUCAGAAGGUCGGCGGUUCAAAUCCCCGUGACGGGGUGAGCUCCCAUUGCUCAGUCCCUGCUCCUGCCAACUUAGCAGUUUGAAAGCAUGUCAAAGUGCAAGUAGAUAAACAGGUACCACUCCAGCGGGAAGGUAAAUGGCGUUUCCGUGCGCUGCUCUGGUUCGCCAGAAGCGACUUAGUCAUGCUGGCCACAUGACCCGGAAGCUGUACACCGGCUCCCUCGGCCAAUAAAGCGAGAUGAGCGCCGCAACCCCAGAGUCGGCCACGACUGGACCUAAUGGUCAGGGGUCCCUUUACCUUUUAACAAAAAUAAUAGGAGGUAAAGAAGAUCGCACAUGGGUUGGAUGGAAGUACUGGGCUGUGGGGAAGGGAGGUGAAGGUGUUAACUGAAAUUGUUAAAGAUUGGUAUAAGAUUUAAGAAAUUUAGAUUUUUAUAAAGAUUCUAUAAGGAAAGCAGAAAGCAGCAAGAAAUAUCAAGUAAAAGUAUCAGAAAGGAGAUCAGUGUAAAUGAAAACAUGAGACUUAUGGUUUUGUUACAUAUGAUUUUAUUUUGGAGUUGUCUGCUUAUUUUGGAGUUGUUUGCUGUAAAGAAUGUAUAUUAUGU